AUGUCAGGGAGGAGAAACAGAGGCGGAGCAAGCGCGCCUCUUGCACUUGCUCCUGGGCCUGGACAGAGGCCACCGCCACCCUCCCAGAGCUCCAGGAGGCCGGCGGCCGCCACCUUGGAACAACGGCUGCUUUCCAGUGUCCAGCGGGAGAUAGACGACGCCAGGGCCAUGCAGCGCGCCGAGGCCGGACAAGGGAGCUCCUCCCUCUCCCACUCCACCUCCGCCCCGGCAUCAUCGCGGUCAAGAUUCUGGCCGCGAGCGCGGCAGGCGGCUAGGAAGGUUCUUGGCAUCAGCAAGAAACCCUCCGCGAGGUCAGCAGCAGGAACCCCGCACGGGCAGGACACGGUAGCUGAGGCCACCGGCACGUCGGAGUCGGCGGCCGUGGCGGCGGCAAGAACUGGGACCGGUGAUGAAGCCAGGUCGGAGCAGCAGCCUGUAGAGGUCGCCCGCACGCGGUCUGAGUUCGCCGCCAUGAUGCAAACUGCGUUGGCGAAGAUCCAGGAGGGUGCCGCGGCCGACGACCAAGCCCAAGGGCAGGCAGCGUUCGCCGAGAUGGAGAAGGCAAUGACCGGCCUCAUGGACCUCUCCCACAAGAAGACAUCGGGGCCACCGAAACUCCCUCGCGAUUUCGCUACCAAAUGGCCUCAUAGCGAUGGCGAUCCACUGCUUGGACGAGUAAUGAAAGAUCCUAUUAUAUUGGCUUCUGGAUAUACUGUUGAUAAAUCAUGCCAACAGUGGUCCCUUGCACAGAAAAAUACCUGCCCUGUUACUGGUCACUCCUUGCCCCACUCACUCACUGCUCCAAACCACCUCCUCCAUGACAUGAUUGCUGAGUGGUGCCUCGACCACUCUAACCUUGCCCGCUCCAGCAUUGGACGCUCGCUCCCCUUGGUGCCACCUGCAGAGGAUGAAAUUCAAGAGAUCCUAGAACUGUUCUCAGGGCAUUCAGUACGGCAGAAAGAGGCCUUGCGGAUGCUCAAUCUAAUGUCCAAAACAUCCAAGGGAAUGCAACCUUGCCUUGCCAAGUGGCCAGAGCUGACCCCACUGCUGAUGGAUCUUAGGAAGCAAUGGAUGAAUGUAUGGUCAGCUGAUAUUGAGGCGCUGAGGAUCUCAUUAAUCCAUAAUUUGUCCAUGCACAGGCCCAACAGGGAGAUCCUAGCCUGUCAGAAUGAAGUACCAGCUGUUCUAAAGAAUGUCGUCGAGAGGGCAGGAAAGCUUGGACUUUCAGCAUCAUUGUUGGCCAUGGUAGCUUCUAUAAUUGCAACACUGUCAGAGUUUGAUGUGUUCAGGAAAAGAAUGGUGACAAUAGGGGGAAUGAAAAUGCUCAGUGGUCUACUCAAGAUUGAGGAUGUUGUACUAAGGAAGGAGACUGGUGCUGCAAUCCUUGCACUCUGUGCAGAUGAGGAGGCCAAGUUAUCAGCUGCUGUUAGUGACGUGCCUGAUAAGCUGCUGGAAUGCUUCAUGGCCACUGAUGAGUUCCUGCUCCUGCUCAACCGUCUACCAAAAUCUCCAGAGGCGCUGGACAUGAUCUGUGACAAGGCUAUGGAAUUGGUGAAUAUCGUCAUGGAGGAAGAUGCUGGUGGAAUGGUGACCUCUCAGGGCAUCCACUCUGCGAUCUCCUUGAUCUUUGUCAUUACUGAGAGGGAUGUGGGUAAGCUGAAGGUGAAGAACGUGGAGGAUUUCAAGGAGCGGCUGCGGGAGCUUUCGUCGAAGAGAAUGCCGAUGCAGACGAUGUUUCAGGUGGAAAAAAUAAUCAAGGCCCUGUCAGAAAUGUUUCCAGCUCCUGCGACGCAGUGA
Molecule: ribosomal RNA, 1797 nt
Filed under: Triticum aestivum (bread wheat)
Lineage: Eukaryota; Viridiplantae; Streptophyta; Magnoliopsida; Poales; Poaceae
Description: partial small subunit ribosomal RNA
Source: RNAcentral